This 846-nucleotide ribosomal RNA is filed under the name Bimastos magnum. RNAcentral's name for it is "partial large subunit ribosomal RNA". The record is from RNAcentral. Lineage: Eukaryota; Metazoa; Annelida; Clitellata; Crassiclitellata; Lumbricidae.
CCAACAUGCCUUUCGUAWWAAAUAGGGAAGAAAUUUCCUGCCCRGGACUUAAAAGUUCAACGGCCGCGGUACCCUAACCGUGCAAAGGUAGCAUAAUAACUUGCCCAUUAAUUGUGGGCUAGAAUGAAAGGAUUAACGAAAUAGAUACUGUCUCUAUAAGUAAAAUAAAAAUUAAAAUCUAAUUGAAGAUCAUUAGAUAAAAUCGAAGGACAAGAAGACCCUAUGGAGCUUUAUUUACCAAAAGAUUUAUUAACUUUUACAUAAUUCGGUUGGGGCGACCUGGGAAAUGUAUUAAAUCACCCCAUUUUAAUAGAUAUAUUAAUCUUUUUAAAGACCCUUUAAUAAAGAUCCUAAAAUUAAGUUACCCUAGGGAUAACAGACUUAUUCAAUUAAAGAGUUCUUAUCAAUAAUUGGGUUUGGCACCUCGAUGUUGGCUUAGGGAAUCUCUAUGGCGCAAAAGUCAUAUAAAGAUGGUUUGUUCAACCACUAAUACCCUACAUGAGCUGAGUUCAGACCGGCGCAAGCCAGGUUAGUUUCUAUCCACGACAAAUUUUUAAUCUAUUUACAGUACGAAAGGACCUAAAUAUGAAUAAAAUUUAUAACUUUUAGAAAUCAUAUAAUGAUGAUAGAUUAACAAGUAAAAUAUAUAAACUAUUAAUAAGUUGGCAGAAUAGUGCCACUGACUUAGAAUCAGUUUAUGGAUAAUAUCCACUUAUUAUGUAACUUAGUUUAAUUAGAACACUCAACUUGCACUUGAAAAGUGAGGAAACUCAGUAGCGGUUUGAUGUUUAGGAAACACUGGAUUUUGAACGUCCAUAUAAGAUGUCGCGASUCUUCUGAUCCCUC